RNAcentral lists this transfer RNA (76 nucleotides) under Thermoprotei archaeon. RNAcentral describes it as "tRNA-Pro". It matches the Rfam family "tRNA". From Rfam's summary of the family: Transfer RNA (tRNA) molecules are approximately 80 nucleotides in length. The record is from RNAcentral. Lineage: Archaea; Thermoproteati; Thermoproteota; Thermoprotei.
GGGGCCGUAGGCUAGCCUGGAAGGCUGCGGGACUUGGGGUCCCGUGACCGGGGUUCAAAUCCCCGCGGCCCCACCA